GAUGAACGCUGGCGGCGUGCCUAACACAUGCAAGUCGAACGAACCGACGAGCAUCUUGCUUCUCUGAUGUUAUCGUCGCACGGGUGAGUAAAACAUGGAUGACCUACCUAUAAGACUGGGGUAACUUCGGGAAACCGGAGCUAAUACCGGAUAAUAUUUUGAACCGCAGGGUUCAAAAGUAUAAGACGGUCUUGCUGUCACUUAUAGAUGGAUCCGCGCUGCAUUAGCUAGUUGGUAAGGUAACGGCUUACCAAGGCAACGAUGCAUAGCCGACCUGAGAGGGUGAGCGGCCACACUGGAAGUGUGACACGGUCCACAGUCCUACGGGAGGCAGCAGUAGGGAAUCUUCCGCAAUGGGCGAAAGCGUGACGGAGCAACGCCGCGCGAGUGAUGAAGGUCUUCGGAGCGUAAGACUCUGUUAUGAGGGAAGAACAUAUGUGGAAGUAACUGUGCACAUCGAGACGGUACCUAAUCAGAAAGCCACGGCUAACUACGUG
This 497-nucleotide ribosomal RNA is filed under the name uncultured bacterium. RNAcentral's name for it is "partial 16S ribosomal RNA". It matches the Rfam family "Bacterial small subunit ribosomal RNA", at positions 28 to 507 of the family's 1533-position model. The record is from RNAcentral.